This 487-nucleotide ribosomal RNA is filed under the name uncultured bacterium. RNAcentral describes it as "bacterial SSU rRNA". It matches the Rfam family "Bacterial small subunit ribosomal RNA", at positions 10 to 523 of the family's 1533-position model. The record is from RNAcentral.
AGUUUGAUCCUGGCUCAGAGUGAACGCUGGCGGCAGGCCUAACACAUGCAAGUCGAACGGCAGCACAGUAAGAGCUUGCUCUUAUGGGUGGCGAGUGGCGGACGGGUGAGGAAUACAUCGGAAUCUACUCUUUCGUGGGGGAUAACGUAGGGAAACUUACGCUAAUACCGCAUACGCCCUACGGGGGAAAGAUUUAUCGGGGAUGGAUGAGCCCGCGUUGGAUUAGCUAGUUGGUGGGGUAAAGGCCUACCAAGGCGACGAUCCAUAGCUGGUCUGAGAGGAUGAUCAGCCACAUUGGGACUGAGACACGGCCCAAACUCCUACGGGAGGCAGCAGUGGGGAAUAUUGGACAAUGGGCGCAAGCCUGAUCCAGCCAUGCCGCGUGAGUGAUGAAGGCCUUAGGGUUGUAAAGCUCUUUCACCGGAGAAGAUAAUGACGGUAUCCGGAGAAGAAGCCCCGGCUAACUUCGUGCCAGCAGCCGCGGUAA